Non-coding RNA from Dermacentor andersoni, 270 nucleotides. The record is from RefSeq and is a predicted model, not a curated record. NCBI's taxonomy places the organism in Eukaryota, Metazoa, Arthropoda, Arachnida, Ixodida, Ixodidae.
AUGGAAUGUUCUAUGUAGGUGUCCCGGCGCCUCGAACUCCUUCGUGCCGGAACAUUCUAUUUCAUGAGAAAAAGAUUCUUAACGUUAUCACAUGAUGAAAGUCAAGCUCUGUUUGUGAGAAAUGGGAGGCUAGCGAAUAUAAACCAAGUAUUUCUCCAAUGGAAGUCAACAUUAGCUACGAAGUAUAGAAGACAUACAGCUGGCAAAGAUCUGGUUAUAUUGCUAACGAGACGUAUGAUCACAGCACCUAACGGAGAAGGGGGCUCUGGC